Molecule: small nuclear RNA, 104 nt
Organism: Bos taurus (domestic cattle)
Lineage: Eukaryota; Metazoa; Chordata; Mammalia; Artiodactyla; Bovidae
Source: Ensembl
GUGCUCACUUCGGCAGCACAUACCCUAAAAUUGGAAGGAUACAGAGAUUAGCAUGGCCCCUGCACAAGGAUGACAUGCAAAUUCGAGAAGCAUUCCUUAUUUUU